Molecule: ribosomal RNA, 220 nt
Filed under: uncultured Glomus
Lineage: Eukaryota; Fungi; Glomeromycota; Glomeromycetes; Glomerales; Glomeraceae
Description: partial small subunit ribosomal RNA
Rfam family: Eukaryotic small subunit ribosomal RNA
Source: RNAcentral
CCAAUAGCGUAUAUUAAAGUUGUUGCAGUUAAAAAGCUCGUAGUUGAAUUUCGGAAUCAAUAUAUCGGUCGUGCCAUUGGUACGCACUGGUAUCAUUGGUUUCUCCUUUCUGACGAACCAUGAUGUCAUUAAUUUGGUGUUAUGGGAAGUUAGGACUGUUACUUUGAAAAAAUUAGAGUGUUUAAAGCAGGCUUUAGCUUGAAUACAUUAGCAUGGAAUA